CCAGUUCUGAACCCUGAAAAUUACAUGUAGAAGUCAGAUAGGUAUUGAAAUAUCCACUUAAGACUUUAAACGACUUAAGCGAGUUUGAAGAAUGAAACUUGGAACUUCUGGCCUUCUCAUGAACUCUUGUCCAUGUGAAGACUGGCGGUUUACUGCAAGACAGAAACUGAGUCUGCAGAGUGAAUAUUCCCCCAGCCAGAAGUGUGACUACAGCCUGCCUCCCCAUAUCAAGUACAAAACAGCAAGAGCCCAGAAGGAGGAGGUCCCAUGAAAGCACGAGCUCUAGCAUGGCUGUCCACCGGAGCAAGGGGGCGCCCUAAUGCUGUAUAUUCUUGCCUUGUACCUCAGGAGCACUGACUGAGGGGAGAAAGUGUUAUUCCCUCCUGGGAAUGACAUCUAAGUCCUUCCUCUUUAAGGAAAACAUGUGGAACUAAGUAGUUAAGUGCCCUCUGCCAAAAGCCAAGGGUUUGUAGGCAGAUGAGAAGAAGCAGGGAGCAUUUCACAUGGAGGGAAGGGCACAAGCAAAGAUCCUGGGGCCUCCAAUAACAAGGAAACCUUGUAGACGAAAUUGGGGGGAUGCAUGAAACUUUUCCCUUGCUUCUGAAACGAUAACUCUGCAUUCGUUCUCGACCACCAUUAAUCAUGCAUAGCUGUGCUCACUGAGGCAAUGUUUUUGACAGCCGAUGGAUGAACAAGAUCUUAUUAGCACUGGUUUCCGUGGUUGAUCACUCAUGGCCAACAUCACACAGAAUUUUCAGCCAGGAUGGGAACGCCCAGCAGCUGGAUGUCCAGCUGCCAAUUCAUCAGUUUGAGAAUCUUUGGAAUGAAUACAGAUCCAGGAGCGAAGAAGACAAGUUCGACUGCCAUUCUCUGAGCAGUUCAAGGCAUACUGACUUGCGGGAGUUGUGUGGUGGUCCACUCUGACUGCAAGCACCCCUUUCUUGAACCGAACAGAGUCAAGUGGAAUCAAAGAGAACACACGAAGUUGGCAAGAGAAAGGACAUCUGAAAUUCAUGAAAAUGAUCGCAGCACUGGCCUUGCAUGUAGACCCCUGGCAACCAGCAACUCUGCAAACACUGCACUUUCCCAUCACUAUGUUUUCUAAGUUGAAUAUGGGACUGUUCAGUAAUGGGGGCUGCAAAGAGUGUUUGGGGACAGACAGUGAGUCACUUGCUGGCUUUGCUACAGCAUCCAGAGACGAUCUGAAACAAAGUCCAGGCUGCUGCUGCUGCUGCUAAGUGAAAGGAAAGACAGCCUUUGGGGUCAACAGGCCCCUUAUCAUACACUGCUAAAUAAGCAUGUUUCAUACAAACAACAGGCUUCAUUUUAAGCAGGACUUACCUCCGCUGCACAGACUCCAUAUACUUCUUAAGAAUCAAACUUAAACUGGAAGAUAAAGUCUGAGGUUUGAGAUCGGC
This 1418-nucleotide long non-coding RNA is filed under the name Piliocolobus tephrosceles (Ugandan red Colobus). RNAcentral's name for it is "lncRNA (ENSPTEG00000012979.1)". The record is from RNAcentral. Lineage: Eukaryota; Metazoa; Chordata; Mammalia; Primates; Cercopithecidae.